RNAcentral lists this unclassified non-coding RNA (40 nucleotides) under Francisella tularensis subsp. novicida U112. Its description in RNAcentral is "RNA (40-MER) from Francisella tularensis subsp. novicida U112 (PDB 5MGA, chain B)". Lineage: Bacteria; Pseudomonadati; Pseudomonadota; Gammaproteobacteria; Thiotrichales; Francisellaceae. The record is from RNAcentral.
AAUUUCUACUGUUGUAGAUGAGAAGUCAUUUAAUAAGGCC